RNAcentral lists this long non-coding RNA (202 nucleotides) under Glycine max (soybean). RNAcentral's name for it is "long non-coding RNA (GMAX_LNC000806)". The record is from RNAcentral. Lineage: Eukaryota; Viridiplantae; Streptophyta; Magnoliopsida; Fabales; Fabaceae.
UGUCACCAAAAUUAUUAGCCUUCUCAAAGAUGGAGAUAAUGUCUUUUAAUCUUCAGAGGAUAUCCAAUAGCAUAUCAUUCAAUAUUUCUCAAGCCUAUUUGCUAUAGACAACAACUGCAUACAUAAUAAUUUGAUUUCCAUGUUAAUUCCUAAGCUUGUCUCUAGUGAGGAUAAUGACAUGCUUACAAUAUUGCCCUCUCCA